UGAUACGUAGGGUGCGAGCGUUGUCCGGAUUUAUUGGGCGUAAAGGGCUCGUAGGUGGUUGAUCGCGUCGGGAGUGAAAUCUUGGGGCUUAACCCUGAGCGUGCUUUCGAUACGGGUUGACUUGAGGAAGGUAGGGGAGAAUGGAAUUCCUGGUGGAGCGGUGGAAUGCGCAGAUAUCAGGAGGAACACCAGUGGCGAAGGCGGUUCUCUGGACCUUUCCUGACGCUGAGGAGCGAAAGCGUGGGGAGCGAACAGGCUUAGAUACCCUGGUAGUCCACGCUGUAAACGGUGGGUACUAGGUGUGGGGUCCAUUCCACGGAUUCCGUGCCGUAGCUAACGCUUUAAGUACCCCGCCUGGGGAGUACGGCCGCAAGGCUA
RNAcentral lists this ribosomal RNA (378 nucleotides) under uncultured Actinomycetes bacterium. Its description in RNAcentral is "bacterial SSU rRNA". It matches the Rfam family "Bacterial small subunit ribosomal RNA", at positions 521 to 896 of the family's 1533-position model. Lineage: Bacteria; Bacillati; Actinomycetota; Actinomycetes. The record is from RNAcentral.